GCAACAGCUGGACCAUCUCUCUGUUAAGCUUUGGGGACUUGCUGGAGGCACAAACACAGAUCAUAAUGGCCUCUUAUUCAAGUUCUCCUCUGCACCCCAGAUACUGACCCUGCCUGCCUGAACAUGGAGUGCAAACACACCCGCACCGACCAAAGGGGGAAAGUGAGUAGAGAUAAGAUUCCAAAUUGGCUAAAGUUAUUGGCCAUGUAUCCUCUCGUAAUUCCAGACACAUGAGGAAACCGGCACAGCAUUGCCACAAUGGAAUGCAAAAUCAAUUUCAGGAAGGAGAGAUUUAUUAUAGUUUACAAGUCCACAGGAUACAAGCUAUCAAGAUUACGGAAAACUCAAUUACCCUGCUGCCUUAGAAGAAUGGAGGUAUUAUGUUAGAAGAAAGACAUACAACUCAGACCCAAAUGGCAUGUGGUAACAGUGGACUCAGACUGACAGUUACAAGUGUAACUUCACUCCUACAACUGCAGCAGACCAGCAAACUAAAUGUGUUUGGAAGAGGACAUGGAUACAAGAAGAUGAUGGAGUGCACACUGAGAACAAUAUGGUUUUGAAUAUGGCUCAGAAGGCCCUGGGUAUUUCAAUUUAAGUUUUGUGGUUAAAUUUUUGCUGAUUGAUCUGAAACACAUUUUGGUUUUGUUGAUUUUUCUAGAUAUUGAUUGAGGGGUUGAUAUGUUCUUACAUUUAACUGUGCUAAUCUGUGAUCAUGAUGACCCAUUUUGUUCAUUAAAAUAUUAUAUAUGCAUAUAU
This 759-nucleotide long non-coding RNA is filed under the name Mus musculus (house mouse). Its description in RNAcentral is "predicted gene 11240 (Gm11240)". Lineage: Eukaryota; Metazoa; Chordata; Mammalia; Rodentia; Muridae. The record is from RNAcentral.